This 7932-nucleotide long non-coding RNA is filed under the name Brassica napus (rape). Its description in RNAcentral is "long non-coding RNA (BNAP_LNC002459)". Lineage: Eukaryota; Viridiplantae; Streptophyta; Magnoliopsida; Brassicales; Brassicaceae. The record is from RNAcentral.
UGUACGGUGGCGAUCGGCGUUUGGCGGGGGAGCCGAGGCUCGGUUUGGAGAGGUCCGGGAGGGAGAGGGGAGUGCAGUGGGUGGUGAUGGGCGCGCCGGGAGCCUGGAGGCACAUCUUCGCAGAGAGGCUCUCAAGCCUUCUUGAAGUUGCUCACAUUUCCAUGGGAUCGCUCGUCCGUCAAGAGCUCAGCCCUACAUCUUCUCUCUACAAGCAGGUAUUUUUAUUUAUAAGGAGGUUACUUAAUGGUUUAAUUAGGGGUUUUUAAUUUGUUACUAAUCUUGCAUUGAUUGAUUGCAAAGUUGUUUAAAUGUUUUCCUCUUCUAAGGAAAUACUUAUCAUUUACUAAUAAGUAAUAACUAACUACAAAUGAUUAAAACAUCAUCUCCUUUUCCUGUUUUGGAAAUUCGUUUGUAAGUGUUUCUGAGCUUAUUUUAAUUCUCUUAUCUGUACAAAUAUACAGAUUGCUAGUGCUGUAAAUGAAGGAAAGCAUGUUCCCAAGGGUCUUGUGUUUGCUUUGCUAUCAAAGCGCCUUGAAGAAGGCUAUGCACGGGGAGAAUCUGGUUUCAUUCUUGAUGGCAUUCCCCGCACUCUUAUUCAAGCCGUGAGUGUGUUGCUGCUCUUUUUAUUUAGCCUCCAAAACAGCCAUUUGAUUUCCACUGUUUCUGAAUAUUACUAUUAUUCUUUUCCGCAGGAAACUCUUGAUCAAAUCGCUCAGAUUGACCUCGUCCUGAAUCUUAAAUGCUCUGAGGAGCACCGAUCUGCUCUUAGUGAAACACCUCUACCUCCCCAGGAGUUCCUCGGCUCUUCUAUCUUACACUCUGCUGUUGCAAUCAAAUCCCGGAGGAGGGAGAGCCUGAGUGUCUACGCAGAGGAGGAGGUACUAUUGCUGUUUUUUUUUAUUUUCUUCUCGUCUUAUUACUAAAUAGAAAAUAAAAUCUUAUGGGGGAUGCAUCAGGUGAAGCCCCUGGAAGAUUACUACAGGAAGCAGAGGAAACUUCUGGACUUUCAUGUCGGUGGUGCCACAUCAGCAGAAACAUGGCAGGGCCUAUUGUCAGCCUUGCAUCUGAAGCAAGCGAAGAAUUUGGCGACUUCACAGAAGCUGACUCUGUGAUGAUGAUGAACACAGCAUAGUCUUCUAAGCUUUGCUUUAUAAAUUUUGAUCCUUUUCUUUUCGUUUUGUUUUGAUGGGUCUGUUUCAGGCAGGCACCACCUAAUUUUUCUUUUGCUUUCACAAUAUGCAACUCAAAAAUUUAAGUUUUGCAAGAGAGCUCCUAAAGUGAUGAGGAUGAAACACUUAAAGCUUGUAAUGAGUCUAUAAAUAUAUAUAUAUAUAGAGAGUAAUAAUUUCCCUAUAACCGAAUGUUGUCCAUGAUUGUUAUUUAGUGGUGUUAGAAUAGAUUUGCCUUACUUGUUAUACAACCUCGUGCACGUGUCUGAUACAAACAUGUCUUUGAUACUGUUACUUGUGAUAAUUAAAGUUCGUGCUACAUAGCAACACCAACAACGAACUGGCAAAGACAUAACACCACCGUAAGUGAGAACUGAAACAGAAAAACACAUCAAUGUCUGGUUGGUUAGUCCCUGUUGGUCCAACACUCCCUGAGAAGUUGAUACCAGGUUUUUUAGAAUUAUAGUAAUGUUUAGAAUUUGAUUUCUACAUGUUUUAGAUUUAUAGUAAAUCUGUAGAAGUCGGUUUCUACAUGUUUUAGAAUUAGAUUAAUGUGUAGAUUUUGAUUUCUAAGAAUUUUAGAAUGGUAGGUUAAGCGCGGAAUGUGUAUUCUACAUAUUUGUAGAAUACUCCUAUUUACGUAGAUCACGUAUUCUAAACAUUGUAGAUUCAAUGAAAAAAGUAGAUUUCUACUUUUUUUAGAACAUAAUCUGAAAUUUAUAAUUUUAAAUUUUUUAUAACUGAAAAAUAUACCAUUAAAUUCAUAUAGGUAUUUUAACAAAUAUUACUAUUUUUCCAAUUUUUUUUUGUUUGUAAAACUAUUUAUUAAAAUUAUUUUCAUAAAUAUUAAAGAGUAUUAUAAGAAAAUAUGACACAAAAUAUAGAUUAGUCUAAAGGGCCAUAGUUACUAUUUUUUUGCUAAAAAAAACAGUUUUCCCUAGAAUAAAUGAAUAAUUAGACACAGCAUUUAUCAAUAAGCAUUUAUCAAUAGUUUAUGUUCCUAAUUUUUAAUAGUAUUGAUGCUUAUGACCCAGUAUAUGACCACUAAGUCAAUACAUCUUGAUUGGCCUGAAAAAGCAAACCACUUUACAUUUGUCGGCACUAAAGCAACCAAUCGAUCACAGCUAUUAACAACUUUAGUUACUUAAUACGCACUAUAUUCGUUUAAACUUUAAUUAUUUGUUUCUUGGACAAAAAAGUAAACUAACGCAAAGAAUUAUAUGAUCAUAUCACCUGAGGAAUCCCGAGGAGUGGAAUCUAUGAAAGAGUUCCCAUUGAUCGUGGCCGGAUUGGUGACGUCAUUCUUGACGGGGGAUGUCGUGUCAGGUUCAGAGAUUAGGGCCGAAAGCUUUACGGCGGAAUCAGAGGAGGUCUUGAUGGUGUUGUGAGAAGAGGAGACACAGGAUCCCAUCUGAAGACUCACUCGUGUCCAGCACAGAGAGCAAGAAUGAUUUGGGUUAGGAGAGAGUGGGGGGAAAUGAGUUUAGAGGAUCUAAAAGGCACAGAGAGGGAAUGAAGGAAGGAAGAUGAAGAAGCAAAGAGAGGGGCUUCAAAGCCAAGUUAAUGGUAUGACAAAAAGAGCAGUUUCGAUUUGGUAAGUGUCUUAAUUGUCUCGUUUAUUUUCAAAUAAUUUAUUAUGGCCUCUUCGUAUUGGUCCUCCUAACAUUAUGAUAUGGGCUCCCCCACACUUUAUUUGUUUUAUCUAAUCUUUCUAUUUUCUUGGUUUGUUGUUUCAAUGUUUUUUUUUGACUCCUUGCAUUUUGUCAUUCUGUUUCGUGCCGCAUGAAAUGUACGCCCCCCUCUCACAUCUAAUUUAGAAACAUCUAAUAUUUUUUGGUUCGUAAAACAAUUUUUUUUAUAACCGAGGUCAACCGACUAAUCUCACAGAAAUCAUAAAACAAAUACUAUAUUUCAUCUAGUUCUCCAUAAUUAGAACAUGGGCGAUACAAGAAAUGAUUCAUUUAGAAAUAUCUAUCAGGCUUUAGUGUUUUUAAAUUUUUUUGGUAGUUUUGGGUUGAUGAACACUCCAUCCUAGUAUAGGCUGAGAUGAUUGUGUGUAAUGAACUCUUAAAUCUUUGAUGUUUAAUUUCAAUUAUCAGAUAAUAAAAAAAAGUUGAUUCAUUUUGGACAAGAGGUUAAUGGGUGGUCAGGUCAAUCAUAACCAGAUCCAUAGUUCUUCAUCUUAAGUAAAUGGACAGCGUUUUGAUUGAAAAUAUCUACAAAGUGGGAAAAAAGAAGAAUAAAAGACAAGAGUUUCCCUUUACACUAGGACAAUGACUCUACGUUUGGUCGAGAUUCGGGUUGAAUGAAGAUCUCAGAGGUAAAGUUUGGGAUGUCAAUAUUAAUACCCUGUUCUUUUAGAAGACGGCAGCGUCUACGGCUUGCGGCCAAAUUUAUAAUUGUUUCUUGGGGGGGGGGGUGCUUAGCGUUGGACGUGAACGGGAGUAUGAUUCAUCAUCUUCCGUCGCCGCUCAGUGAAACUGCUACAAGAAACCAAACGCAGAACGCAGCUGCCUUGAGCCGACGAUUUCACCCUCUUAAGUUGUUGUCUUUCUGUAUCAUUAUUAUUAUAAGGAGUCGCCGGUGCAGAAGAUCUGACCGGUGUUCUUAGCCAGAGACAUGCUCUUGCUUUGCUUUCCGCCACGUCAUCCUCUCCUUCGUCCUCAUCUUGAUCCUGCGUCUCUUUGAAGAGUUCGAGGAGUCUCUUCUUGUUGUCUGUUGGAGACGGCUCUUCGUGUUUUUUCUCAUCUGCUUUAGGAGUUUUGUCAGAGAAUUUGUGAUGCACCGGUGUUGUUCCUCGCGACGGCGUAAAUUCUGCAAUGAAACAAGUCAAAUGUUCAGUCAUUAUUUAUUGAAAAAUAUUAUAGAUAUAUGUUACAAAGUAACUUCUCAAUAAAACGUCAUACCACCAUCAACGCUCAUGAAAUCAUCUUCACAGUCAGAAUCAAGCCACCCCCUUGAAUCGAAAAAAGUGAUCUCCUCUUUAUUUACAUUAAGAAACAAUCCAAAUCAUCAUUAUCUCAUAUAAUACUAUGUCACAACUCACAAGGAAGAGGAUAAUGGACACUUUUAAACUGUAAGGUAAAAGAAAUUGGAGGUUUUGAGUAAAUGCAGUAGCUGUACGUACCCCUAACUAACUACACCGGUUGUUCUGAUUUUUUAACAAUACGUUUCAACAUCAUACAUUUAUUAAAUGUUAUGAUUUUUUAAUAUAUGAAAGUUGCAACUUGAGGUAUGGUCCAUGUAUACAUAUCACUCUAACUGUAUAAUAUUGGUAUAUGCCUUGAAGACAUUCUAACCUCUAGCGUACGCUUCACCCUUUGCCCAUAUGAUACUACUACUAUUGUUUUGUAAAUUGAUAGAUCCCUGUUGUUACCCAUGUUUAUGACCAUCAUCAAACUAACUUUAUCAAUUUAAAAGCUCAUUUUCAUCUAACUAAUGCUUAUGACUCAGUAUAUGAUCUCUAAGUCAAUACAUCUUGAUUGGCCUGAAAAAGCAAACCACUUUACAUUUGUCGGCACUAAAGCAACCAAUCGAUCACAGCUAUUAACAACUUUAGUUACUUAAUACGCACUAUAUUCGUUUAAACUUUAAUUAUUUGUUUCUUGGACAAAAAAGUAAACUAACGCAAAGAAUUAUAUGAUCAUAUCACCUGAGGAAUCCCGAGGAGUGGAAUCUAUGAAAGAGUUCCCAUUGAUCGUGGCCGGAUUGGUGACGUCAUUCUUGACGGGGGAUGUCGUGUCAGGUUCAGAGAUUAGGGCCGAAAGCUUUACGGCGGAAUCAGAGGAGGUCUUGAUGGUGUUGUGAGAAGAGGAGACACAGGAUCCCAUCUGAAGACUCACUCGUGUCCAGCACAGAGAGCAAGAAUGAUUUGGGUUAGGAGAGAGUGGGGGGAAAUGAGUUUAGAGGAUCUAAAAGGCACAGAGAGGGAAUGAAGGAAGGAAGAUGAAGAAGCAAAGAGAGGGGCUUCAAAGCCAAGUUAAUGGUAUGACAAAAAGAGCAGUUUCGAUUUGGUAAGUGUCUUAAUUGUCUCGUUUAUUUUCAAAUAAUUUAUUAUGGCCUCUUCGUAUUGGUCCUCCUAACAUUAUGAUAUGGGCUCCCCCACACUUUAUUUGUUUUAUCUAAUCUUUCUAUUUUCUUGGUUUGUUGUUUCAAUGUUUUUUUUUGACUCCUUGCAUUUUGUCAUUCUGUUUCGUGCCGCAUGAAAUGUACGCCCCCCUCUCACAUCUAAUUUAGAAACAUCUAAUAUUUUUUGGUUCGUAAAACAAUUUUUUUUAUAACCGAGGUCAACCGACUAAUCUCACAGAAAUCAUAAAACAAAUACUAUAUUUCAUCUAGUUCUCCAUAAUUAGAACAUGGGCGAUACAAGAAAUGAUUCAUUUAGAAAUAUCUAUCAGGCUUUAGUGUUUUUAAAUUUUUUUGGUAGUUUUGGGUUGAUGAACACUCCAUCCUAGUAUAGGCUGAGAUGAUUGUGUGUAAUGAACUCUUAAAUCUUUGAUGUUUAAUUUCAAUUAUCAGAUAAUAAAAAAAAGUUGAUUCAUUUUGGACAAGAGGUUAAUGGGUGGUCAGGUCAAUCAUAACCAGAUCCAUAGUUCUUCAUCUUAAGUAAAUGGACAGCGUUUUGAUUGAAAAUAUCUACAAAGUGGGAAAAAAGAAGAAUAAAAGACAAGAGUUUCCCUUUACACUAGGACAAUGACUCUACGUUUGGUCGAGAUUCGGGUUGAAUGAAGAUCUCAGAGGUAAAGUUUGGGAUGUCAAUAUUAAUACCCUGUUCUUUUAGAAGACGGCAGCGUCUACGGCUUGCGGCCAAAUUUAUAAUUGUUUCUUGUUCACGCAUCCCGAGAAUAAUGCUGCUACCGAUGCUUUCGCCUAUCAAAAAUAGCCGCAGAUCAUUCUAACUGCCGCUACUUUUUAUAGCGUCACAGACGACGCUGAAAGCCUUGACGAAAAUAAUCGCAGCGUCAGCUUAGUUAAUUUUCCACCAUUUUUUUGUUUAUUUUGAUAUUCAGUUUUUUUUAUCGCAAGCUGCUGUGUCGGCGUCUUCUAAAAGAACAUGGGUAAUUGUAUGUGAGGGAUGAAUUGACUUUACCAUUAAUUUCAGAGAUUACAAUCCUUUGGUAAAGAAAGGUGGCAUGGAAAAUGAAGGGUUUAUCUGUGAUGUUUAAAGUUAUGAUGUAUGUGAAACUCUUAGGCUGUUUGAGCAUGGAAAUGAAAUUAACAGAUGACAAAAAAGAAAGAAAGGUGGCUAGUCCGUUUAUAAAACUGUAUAUAAAUAUAUCCCUACAUAUUAUUGCAUCAUAACCCUAAACUCAUCAAAGUUAAUAAUUCCAUCGCUAUUAAUAUCAAAUUGCGAAAUCAUAACCUCGCAUUCUUCAAGGCUUUUGGACUCCCCCAACAAACUAAGCAUCCUCUUUAAACUUUUAGGGGUGAUGCCUUCACUCUCUUCAUACAUCUUGAAAGCUUGCUUCAAGUCAUUCUCCUUGUCUUCCUCGUCUCCUUCUUCCACCAGCUUCACAAACUCCUCGAGUUCCAAGGAUUUAUGAGUAUGUGUAUCCGUUGUCUCUUCUUCAGGUACGACCUUUUCCCCGGACUUAAUAGCAUCGACACAUCGUUCGAUGGUGGAAACAGAAACAUUCCCUUGUUGGCUCUUGUCAAAGCAACUAAAUACCCUUUGAUACUCUUCACGUUUUGUAACGUUCUUGCUAUUCUUCAUAGAAUAUUAUCAAAUAAGAGUUGAGAGAAGGGAAAAAUGAAGAAGAGAGGAUAUGAAUAUAGUAAAGAUUAUGUAUCUUCUUUCCUUGGAGCAUUGAGGCAUUAAUAGAAAUGUGGAGUACUUUAUAUAUAGAAGAAGACUGGACCAGGGAGGUUUGACAAACGAUAUUAAAAGAAAGAAACAUGUUCAAUAUUGGACCGUACGUUAACAUAUGUGGUCGGAGUUUCUUUACGGCGCUUCAAAGGACAAGAGACACUUAGUUCCCGCGGCUUUUAAUUCCCAAAGUUGACAAGUUUCCCAUUUUUUUCUUUGUAUAAGGAAUUGCUCGGUGAUUUCGUAACUAAGACGAGGAAGAUUCCGUUGACUUUGACUAUUCUUCUUUCGUGAUCGUGAGCAAGCUCUUACAUCAGGAGAAUAGAUUUUCUGAUUUUGGCUUAGAGUGUUCGUUGACAUUUUGGAUCGUUGAAUACAAUUGGGCCUCUAUAAUUAUGGGCUUGGGCCGAGCAUUUAAUAUGGGUUUGUCACUUGAACCUAGAUGGAGCUGUGAGGUAGAGAGUCAACAACGCAGUGAGUGGCAAAUAUCCGUGGAUUAGUGAAAAAGGGAGGGGCAGUUAAGACAGAGAGAGAGAGUUCCCAUCUGUGUUGUUUGUUGUUAAACCUCAACCUCGCAUUCAUUCCAACUCUGUCUCCUCUCUGAAUCCGCCGCCGCCACGCCUGACACCAAUCACCAUGGCAUGGGUGAGCCGCGUGAGAGGAGGAGUUUCGCCGCUUUCAAGGCUCGUUGCGGCGGCGCGGCGAUCGUUCGGAUCAUCGGCGGCAGUGGCGUUUGACUACGACUCCGAUGAGGAGUACGUGUACGGUGGCGAUCCGAGACUUGAUUUGGAGAGGUCUGGGAGGGAGAGGGGAGUGCAGUGGGUGGUGAUGGGCGCUCCUGGAGCCUGGAGGCACGUCUUCGCAGAGAGGCUCUCAAGCCUUCUUGAAGUUUCUCACAUUUCCAUGGGAUCGCUCGUCCGUCAACAGCUCAGCCCUACAUCUUCUCUCUACAAGCAG